Molecule: unclassified non-coding RNA, 1101 nt
Filed under: Hevea brasiliensis (rubber tree)
Lineage: Eukaryota; Viridiplantae; Streptophyta; Magnoliopsida; Malpighiales; Euphorbiaceae
Source: RNAcentral
ACUAUUCCAAGAAGCACAAGCAUUGACUGAAGUAAGAGUAGCACAGGCUAAAUCUAGGAUGAAAGAUUGGAUCAAGCAAUCAGAGUUAAAACUAGAAUCUCAAUUGCAAAACUUGUCCCAUCAAUUACAAGAAUUCAUUCAGGGAACUUACAAGAGCCGAAGCAAGGAAACAAAGUAAUAACUAUGAAGGCAGCAAUAAUAGAAUUAAUGGAAAAACAGAAGCGAGACCCAGGCAAAGGUAGUGCCAAGGUAUACGAAGUUGGAUUUUCCAACGUUUGAUGGAUACGAAGAUUAGUUGAUUUGGUUACACUGAUGUGAACAAUUUUUUUCAUAGAAACAAAUAAGGUGAACCUCGCACCAUUCCAUAUGACUGCAGAGGUACAACUCUAAUUCUACAGAUUAGAACAAGAAGAACCUUAACUAUUGUGGAACGCAUUCAAAGAAUAUUGCAAUUUAAGAUUUGGGCCUCCACUCAGUAGCAAUCUUUUGGGCGAAGUGGCCAAUCUGAAGCAAACAGGGAUAGAGGAAGAAUACCAACGUCAGUUUUAGAGCCUUCUAGCUCGUGCAACAAUAAUUCAGGUAGAUCAAUAAGUUGAUUUGUUUAUUGCAGGCUUUGAUAGAUUCAAUCUAGAUUGAUGUAGAGAUGCAAAAUCCCCCGAACUUGGUGGCAACUAUGAACCUAGCAAGAGCCUUUGAAAGAAAACAACAGUGGGAAGAAAAUUGGACAAAUUCAUGGCCCUAUACAAGAACAACAUCUACUUCAUCAAUUCUAUCUAUAACCAAGGCUACUGCCAACCAAACUAUUAGCACAUUACAGAAUUCCAUUUUAAAAAGUGUUUCAUCUCUCUUUAUUAAAAGAUUGAGCUGUCCAGAGAUGGCUAAGCGAAGAGCAAAAAGGCUUUGCUAUAAUUGUGACGAACCAUAUUUCUCCGAGUUAGGGGUGGCCACGGUGCAGGAACUGCCAGUUAUGGUUCCUGAACAGCCAGUUCAGGUUCAAUAAAAUCAUAAACUUGAACUAAAUCGCUAGUGGACGGUUUGGAAAACAGUUUCUAAACCGCCAAUUCCAGUUCGAGUCCUGGUUUAAAACGGUUUGAAGGGCAG